UGAACGAGCACUUAGAUUCCUACAAAUACACAGAUCAAAAAGACAUCGUUCACUCAAUCCACAUCUCUAUUAUUGAUUUCUUGAGGGAAAUUGAAAAAUGGAAUAUAAAAAGAAAUAGUGGAUAUUGACCUAACUAAAUGUUUGAAGAAAAGACUGCAUGAGUAAAUGUCAAUAGUUUAUUUUGUAACCAAACCUGAAAGGAUAUAUACUCAGAAGUGGGAUUGCUCGAUGAUGUGAUACUUCUAUUUUUAAGUACUUCUGGUGGACAAUUUUUACAGAAAUUCCAAAAGCUGCCACCAUCCACUUCCACCAAUUGAACCAACUUUUGCUACUACACACAGAUACAACUCUAAAGGCAUGAUCCAUGAAAGAAAACAUUGAUAAGCUUGACUUCACUAAAAUUAAAAAUUUCUGCACUGUGAGAGACACUGCUAAGAGAGUGAAAAGACAAGACACAGACUUGGAGAAGAUAUCUGCAAAAGACAUAUCUGAUCAAGUAUUGUUGUCCAAAAUAUACAAUGAAUUCUUAAAACUCAACAAUAAGAAAACAAUCUGAUUAAAAAAUUGGGCCAAAGACUUUAACUAAUACCUCACCAAAGAAGAUACACAGAGGACAAAUAAGCAUAUGAAAAGAUGCUCCAUAUCAUAUGUCAUCAAGGAAAUGCAAAUUAAAACAACCUAUUAGAAAGGCCAAAAUCUGGAACACUGACAACAUCAAAUGCUGGUGAGGAUAUGGAGCAACAGGAACUUUUCUUCAUUGGUGGUGGGAAUGCACAUUAGUACAGUCAUUUUGGAAGACAGUUUGGUGGUUUCUUACAAAACUAAACAUUCUUUUACCAUACAAUCCAGCAAGUGCACCCCUUGAUAUCUCCCCAAAGGUUAAAAACUCACUUCCAUACAACAAUCUGCACAUGGAUAUUUAUAGCAGCUUUAUACCUAAUUGCCAAAACUGGAAACAUCCAAGAUGCCCUUCAAUAGGUGAAAGGAUAAAUAAACUGUGGUACAUCUAGACAAUAGAAUAUUAU
RNAcentral lists this long non-coding RNA (1025 nucleotides) under Equus caballus (horse). RNAcentral's name for it is "lncRNA (ENSECAG00000044143.1)". The record is from RNAcentral. Lineage: Eukaryota; Metazoa; Chordata; Mammalia; Perissodactyla; Equidae.